This 223-nucleotide long non-coding RNA is filed under the name Vigna radiata. RNAcentral's name for it is "long non-coding RNA (VRAD_LNC013024)". Lineage: Eukaryota; Viridiplantae; Streptophyta; Magnoliopsida; Fabales; Fabaceae. The record is from RNAcentral.
GCUGCCCAACAUGAUGUUCGAAGUCGGUCUCGCAAGCCAGGUAAAGGACGACCAAAAUGUGACCACUGUGGCAAGCUAGGCCACAAAAUUGAUAGAUGUUAUGCGCUUCAUGGAUGCCCUCCUCGAUCUAUAGCAAUGGUUAAUUCUGAUCCACCUCCUCGACCUCCCCAAUCACCGUCUACAAAUCAUCCUACUACAUCAAAUAUUGUAGACGACCCUGCAG